CAGAUCAGAAGCGAGAAUGUUGACAUGAGUAGCGACAAACAGGGUGAGAGACCCUGUCGCCGUAAGUCCAAGGGUUCCUGCUUAAAGCUAAUCUGAGCAGGGUAAGCCGGCCCCUAAGGCGAGGCCGAAAGGCGUAGUCGAUGGGAACACGGUUAAUAUUCCGUGGCCAGGAGGAAGUGACGGAUUUCAAAGAUUGUCUGCCCUUAUCGGAUUGGGUGGGCCGUUCAGAGGUCCCUGGAAAUAGCCCUCCAUCAGACCGUACCCUAAACCGACACAGGUGGACUGGUAGAGUAUACCAAGGCGCUUGAGAGAACCACGUUAAAGGAACUCGGCAAAAUGCCUCCGUAAGUUCGCGAGAAGGAGGCCCCGUCUGUAGGCAACUAUAGGCGGGGGGCACAAACUAGGGGGUGGCGACUGUUUACUUAAAACACAGGGCUCUGCGAAGCCGUAAGGCGACGUAUAGGGUCUGACGCCUGCCCGGUGCUGGAAGGUUAAAAGGAGGGGUGCAAGCUCUGAAUUGAAGCCCCAGUAAACGGCGGCCGUAACGAUAACGGUCCUAAGGUAGCGAAAUUCCUUGUCGGGUAAGUUCCGACCUGCACGAAUGGCGUAACGAUCUCCCCGCUGUCUCUAACGUGGACUCAGCGAAAUUGAACUGUGUGUCAAGAUGCACACUACCCGCGGUUAGACGGAAAGACCCCAUGAACCUUUACUCCAGCUUUGCACUGGCAUCAGGAUUGCGAUGUGCAGGAUAGGUGGUAGCCUUUGAAGCGGGGACGCUAGUUCCCGUGGAGGCUCCCUUGGGAUACCACCCUUCGCACUCUUGAUGUCUAACCGCGGCCCGUUAUCCGGGUCCGGGACCCUGCAUGGUGGGGAGUUUGACUGGGGCGGUCGCCUCCCAAACAGUAACGGAGGCGCGCGAAGGUAGGCUCAGACCGGUCGGAAAUCGGUCGUUGAGUGCAAUGGCAGAAGCCUGCCUGACUGCAAGACUGACAAGUCGAGCAGAGACGAAAGUCGGUCAUAGUGAUCCGGUGUCCCAAGUGGGAGGGCCAUCGCUCAACGGAUAAAAGGUACUCUGGGGAUAACAGGCUGAUGAUGCCCAAGAGUCCAUAUCGACGGCAUCGUUUGGCACCUCGAUGUCGGCUCAUCUCAUCCUGGGGCUGGGGCAGGUCCCAAGGGUAUGGCUGUUCGCCAUUUAAAGAGGUACGUGAGCUGGGUUUAGAACGUCGUGAGACAGUUCGGUCCCUAUCUGCCGUGGGUGUAGGAGACUUGAGAAGAGUUGCCCCUAGUACGAGAGGACCGGGGUGAACGAACCACUGGUGGACCAGUUAUCGUGCCAACGGUAGUGCUGGGUAGCUAUGUUCGGACAGGAUAACCGCUGAAGGCAUCUAAGCGGGAAGCCCCCUUCAAAACAAGGUCUCCCUUGAGGGCCGUGGAAGACCACCACGUCGAUAGGCCGGAGGUGUAAGUGCAGCAAUGCAUUCAGCUGACCGGUACUAAUUGCCC
Molecule: ribosomal RNA, 1503 nt
Filed under: metagenome
Description: bacterial LSU rRNA
Rfam family: Bacterial large subunit ribosomal RNA
Source: RNAcentral